Molecule: ribosomal RNA, 433 nt
Filed under: uncultured bacterium
Lineage: Bacteria
Description: partial 16S ribosomal RNA
Rfam family: Bacterial small subunit ribosomal RNA
Source: RNAcentral
GACGAACGCUGGCGGCAUGCCUAACACAUGCAAGUCGAACGAGACCUUCGGGUCUAGUGGCGCACGGGUGCGUAACGCGUGGGAACCUGCCCUUAGGUUCGGAAUAACUCCCCGAAAGGGGUGCUAAUACCGGAUAAUGUCUUCGGACCAAAGAUUUAUCGCCUUUGGAUGGGCCCGCGUUGGAUUAGCUAGUUGGUAGGGUAAAAGCCUACCAAGGCGACGAUCCAUAGCUGGUCUGAGAGGAUGAUCAGCCACACUGGGACUGAGACACGGCCCAGACUCCUACGGGAGGCAGCAGUGGGGAAUAUUGGACAAUGGGCGAAAGCCUGAUCCAGCAAUGCCGCGUGAGUGAUGAAGGCCUUAGGGUUGUAAAGCUCUUUUACCCGGGAUGAUAAUGACAGUACCGGGAGAAUAAGCUCCGGCCAACUCCGUG